RNAcentral lists this ribosomal RNA (484 nucleotides) under uncultured bacterium. RNAcentral's name for it is "partial 16S ribosomal RNA". It matches the Rfam family "Bacterial small subunit ribosomal RNA", at positions 28 to 523 of the family's 1533-position model. The record is from RNAcentral.
GACGAACGCUGGCGGCGUGCUUAACACAUGCAAGUCGAACGAUGAAGCCGGAGCUUGCUCUGGUGAAUUAGUGGCGAACGGGUGAGUAACACGUGAGUAACCUGCCCUUGACUCUGGGAUAACUGCGGGAAACUGUAGCUAAUACCGGAUACGACCCUCGGAGGCAUCUCCUGGGGGUGGAAAGAAUUUCGGUCAAGGAUGGACUCGCGGCCUAUCAGCUAGUUGGUGAGGUAAAGGCUCACCAAGGCGACGACGGGUAGCCGGCCUGAGAGGGUAACCGGCCACACUGGGACUGAGACACGGCCCAGACUCCUACGGGAGGCAGCAGGGGGGAAUAUUGCACAAUGGGCGCAAGCCUGAUUCAGCAACGCCGCGUGAGGGAUGACGGCCUUCGGGUUGUAAACCUCUUUUAGCAGGGAAGAAGCGAAAGUGACGGUACCUGCAGAAAAAGCACCGGCUAACUACGUGCCAGCCGCCGCCGUAA